CCUACGGGAGGCAGCAGUGGGGAAUCUUAGACAAUGGGGGCAACCCUGAUCUAGCCAUGCCGCGUGAGUGAUGAAGGCCUUAGGGUCGUAAAGCUCUUUCGCCUGUGAUGAUAAUGACAGUAGCAGGUAAAGAAACCCCGGCUAACUCCGUGCCAGCAGCCGCGGUAAUACGGAGGGGGUUAGCGUUGUUCGGAAUUACUGGGCGUAAAGCGCGCGUAGGCGGAUUAGAAAGUUGGGGGUGAAAUCCCGGGGCUCAACCCCGGAACUGCCUCCAAAACUGCUAGUCUAGAGUUCGAGAGAGGUGAGUGGAAUUCCGAGUGUAGAGGUGAAAUCCGUAGAUAUUCGGAGGAACACCAGUGGCGAAGGCGGCUCACUGGCUCGAUACUGACGCUGAGGUGCGAAAGUGUGGGGAGCAAACAGGAUUAGAUACCCUGGUAGUCCAAACCGUAAACGAUGAAUGCCAGUCGUCGGGUAGUAUACUAUUCGGUGACACACCUAACGGAUUAAGCAUUCCGCCUGGGGAGUACGGUCGCAAGAUUAAAACUCAAAUGAAUUGACGG
RNAcentral lists this ribosomal RNA (560 nucleotides) under uncultured bacterium. RNAcentral's name for it is "bacterial SSU rRNA". It matches the Rfam family "Bacterial small subunit ribosomal RNA", at positions 338 to 916 of the family's 1533-position model. The record is from RNAcentral.